Molecule: long non-coding RNA, 1792 nt
Organism: Phragmites australis (common reed)
Lineage: Eukaryota; Viridiplantae; Streptophyta; Magnoliopsida; Poales; Poaceae
Exons: 5
Source: RefSeq, a predicted model, not a curated record
GGCCCUCGCAUUGUCCUUCCCCUCAUCGUCGUAUUCCUUCCAUUGCUCUUCGCUGGCCUACUCCACGCCCGACACGCGGAGAGGCUGCCACCAUGGCUCUCCAAGGGAAGGAUCUUCGUUUUGUGUGUCAAAGCGGUGGGGAUGCGCCUGUCGUGCCGCUCCGAGCAAAGGGGCUCCACUCCGUUCAGAGGACGACGACCCUUGCAGCGCCAGCCAUCGAGCAGCUUCGCGCCACCCCUCCAGUAUUCCAUCUGCCGGCGGCAUCUACAACCCCGACAACGGCGGGGAGCCGUUGCGGCAGUGUCUCUAGGCAGUAAGUGCGCCGUGGCUGCACGUGGCGUCCAAGGGCUCGACGUCGGACCUGCCCUCGUGUACCUGGUGUGUACCAGGCGAGUGUCACUUUCGCUACUGUGGUAUAUGUUUGCCUAGCAACAUGCUUGGUGCAGUUUUGGGAUCUUUAUUUGUAAGAUUACUAUCAUACCAUAGUUUGAGGUGCACAUAUUCGUUCCUACUACUGCAAACCAGUGCAAAUGUUCCUGUUCAUGCUCUACAAAGGGAUAUAUAGGAGCAUAGCGAGGAUUGCCGAGGGGCAGGAAUUUUUACCCAGUCCUUUGUUAUCAGUUCAGUGGAUGCAUCUCCUUUAUCUAUUUCAUAAUUUAGUUUUACAUUUCUGCAGCUUUUCAUUUCUUUGAUUUCAACUACUUAUCCAGAAAAAAAUGCCCUAUGAUUGAUAAGGUUGUUUUUAUGCAUGUUUGAGUGGUACCACAAGGUAUCAAUCAAGAUAUAUUACUAGGCUUAGCAUUUAUUUCACAUGUCUAUUGCCGUUCUAUCAGAUUUGCUUCUCUCAAAUUUACAUCUCCAAUUUACAUCUGUGUGCAUUGCCUUUGUUGCAGUAGGACAACCUAAGGGGCCAGGAAUUUGAAAAAAAAAAACACAGAUUUAUUUGCUUUGUGUGUUCCCAUCUGUCAUGCCUAGGAACCUUUUUUUUAUGUUAGUGCUUUGUAUAUAGUAAGACCAGGGAGGUCGAUCAAAGAACAAUAUCAACAUUUUUCCCUAGGAUGUCCAUUCAUUGUGAAUCUAUAGCUUCUUUUUCAUGUAUCCAUCAGAAAAUGUUCAUUUGUAUCAGCCAAAAAAAUAAUACAAAUUAAUGUUUAUUCUUGGUGAUGGUACUACUUUCGUGGCCCUGUUCACAAAUUGAUCUGAUGGAAGAUGCUUAUUUGCAGGCAGCUUUGUAGCAAUGAUAGGUUCCUAGCCUCGACACCAGCAAUUCACUCAUUUGCCUCCUUCAUUUGCCAAUUCAGUGACCUCAGCUCCAAUGUUCUCAUUUUGUAAUGUGGAAGCAGCAAUGGAUAUUAUGGUAUCAAGAAGUUAGCAUUAUUGUUGUGGAGGAUCUUAUCCUAAUAUGCAUCUGCACCUACGCAAGGGAAGAUCUUCUUGAACUGGUAAUAAUGCUCUACCUGUUGAUUCAAUGACAAGAUCUUUCAUGGAGGUGAACAUACUUCAGCUCAAUAUGUCAGUACCGCCUCCGUACUGUUUCAUGGGAAGGCCCUUCAGGAGGCUAAAUUUGACAAGAGCUUGCAUGGUGAGUUUGAUCCCCAUCAAGCAUGAUGUCACAGAUGAGUGGCCACCAGUUCCCCGUCUGAUUUAUGCUCAACCACAUUUCAAAACGUUGGAGGAGCUGAGGUUGACCAACACAUAUGACUUCCAGUUAAGUGUUUUCCUCAGUGGCAAUGUUUGUUCUCAGCGUCUGAAGGGUUUGAAUGCACCACUGUUAUCUCAAGAGUUAGCCCAG